UACCUACGGGAGGCAGCAGUGAGGAAUAUUGGUCAAUGGGCUUACGCCUGAACCAGCCAAGUCGCGUGAGGGAAGACUGCCCUAUGGGUUGUAAACCUCUUUUGUCAGGGAGCAACGCCGGCUACGUGUAGCCGGACUGAGAGUACCUGAAGAAUAAGCCACGGCUAACUACGUGCCAGCAGCCGCGGUAAUACGUAGGUGGCAAGCGUUAUCCGGAUUUACUGGGUGUAAAGGGCGUGUAGGCGGGAGAGCAAGUCAGACGUGAAAUUCCAGGGCU
RNAcentral lists this ribosomal RNA (277 nucleotides) under uncultured bacterium. Its description in RNAcentral is "partial 16S ribosomal RNA". It matches the Rfam family "Bacterial small subunit ribosomal RNA", at positions 335 to 609 of the family's 1533-position model. The record is from RNAcentral.